Leopardus geoffroyi (Geoffroy's cat) is the source of this 934-nucleotide long non-coding RNA. RefSeq lists it as uncharacterized. The transcript is spliced from 2 exons. NCBI's taxonomy places the organism in Eukaryota, Metazoa, Chordata, Mammalia, Carnivora, Felidae. The record is from RefSeq and is a predicted model, not a curated record.
UUGGCUGCGUGUGAAAAACAACAACAAACACUUUUAAGAACUAGGAGGCAGACGGGUGGUUUGAUUCUUGUAAAAAGAAAAACGCUGUGGCGGCGGAAGAAAAUGACACGGCCGGCUUCCCACGUGCAACCACGAUGUUUCAUGGAAACAGACGACGCUACCCACGGGCGCUGGGAAACUCAAGGUAGUCCGCGACACCAGAGGACUUCCGGCGGUUUAAACAGGCAUAAAAUUCGGCAAAGCCUUGGGAGGGAUCGUCGCCUUCUUCCCUGGAACCUGGGGAAGCCGUGGUGGCAGCAGACCCAUUUCCGCGAGGCACCCUCCCAGGAAGUGCCUCCCCAGCCACCCGAUCCCGGCGUCUCGCUGAUGUAAACAUAAAGCGGAAGCCACGCAGGGGUGUGCCGCAUGGAUGCACCUGUUCCGUGCUUUAAAACUUUCCCAGCGCCGUUCGGCGAGCCCUCAGUCCUGCCCGGACACAGGUGCCAUUUCGUGUCCCCGUUAGACACAGGGCGUCCAGGAUACGACGGCCACCAAGCAAAAUCCCGCUCGUUCUCUGCGUGAAGAGUCUCGCUUCGCAAGAAUUCAGAACACCUUGACCAUCACGUGACCUUGCAGCUUCUGUGGGACUUGACCCCCCACGUGGCACCACUCUUACACAUCACCUAUCCGUCCAUCUCCAUCCACACUUGUCCACAGCAGUCCUGCAGGAGCUCGGAGCUGUUGAGAUGCGUUCCCAGGUGACAGAGAGGUGUGGGGUGAGGAAGGACACGCAGAAAUACUCUGACCCACAGAAAGGGGAGCGAUACUCUCUGCCUCCAGUCUAAGAAUAGUAGUUGGGCAAGUUUUACAUGCCCAUAAAUUCCCAAGUCCGUCCUCACUGUGUGGGUCUGUAUUACCCAGAAUCUAACCAAAACCAAAGUCAAUUCUAACGGUC